This 496-nucleotide ribosomal RNA is filed under the name uncultured bacterium. RNAcentral describes it as "partial 16S ribosomal RNA". It matches the Rfam family "Bacterial small subunit ribosomal RNA", at positions 29 to 507 of the family's 1533-position model. The record is from RNAcentral.
AUGAACGCUGGCGGCGUGCCUAAUCCCUGCAAGUCGAGCGAACAGAUGAGGAGCUUGCUCCUCUGACGUUAGCGGUGGACGGGUGAGUAACACGUGGAUAACCUACCUAUAAGACUGGGAUAACUUCGGGAAACCGGAGCUAAUACCGGAUAAUAUAUUGAACCGCAUGGUUCAAUAGUGAAAGACGGUUUUGCUGUCACUUAUAGAUGGAUCCGCGCCGCAUUAGCUAGUUGGUAAGGUAACGGCUUACCAAGGCAACGAUGCGUAGCCGACCUGAGAGGGUGAUCGGCCACACUGGAACUGAGACACGGUCCAGACUCCUACGGGAGGCAGCAGUAGGGAAUCUUCCGCAAUGGGCGAAAGCCUGACGGAGCAACGCCGCGUGAGUGAUGAAGGUCUUCGGAUCGUAAAACUCUGUUAUUAGGGAAGAACAAAUGUGUAAGUAACUAUGCACGUCUUGACGGUACCUAAUCAGAAAGCCACGGCUAACUACGUG